This is a long non-coding RNA of Triticum urartu, 652 nucleotides long. RefSeq lists it as uncharacterized. The record is from RefSeq and is a predicted model, not a curated record. NCBI's taxonomy places the organism in Eukaryota, Viridiplantae, Streptophyta, Magnoliopsida, Poales, Poaceae.
GAGGCAGUCAUCAGUGACAGAACCACCUACUACUCAAGUACUGAUCGACUACUAAGCUGUCCCUUUGCAUAGGUAGCAAGUGAGAAUCAAUGGCGACAUAUAUGGGCUCCCAGCUAGUCAUGUCGCACGGGAAGGGACGUCUGUUGAGCUCUCGUUCCUCCUCAUCCUCCGUCGGGCGAAUAACUGUUACGCCUCUGGCUGCUCAAGUAGCCCGAGUCACUCGGGCCGUCCAGCAUCCUCCACCCGGUCCAGUUUCAGAUGGACCUCGUCCUGAUGGUUCAGGGAGCAUACUUCAGGUCGAUCGGGCCAAGAAGACGGACAAGGUUCAUACGGGUUGUGGUGACCCUCCCUGCGGAAAGCGUCAUCCAAGGCCAAAGAGGAUGGCUCGACAAGGCCAAGAGAAAGAGGAAGCCCAAUCGCCGUUUUGAUCCAACUACGUGGGAGCUGUGAGCCGAGGGCUGAGACGAGUGAGGCAUCUGAGUUAUCAUUUGGCUGUAAUCUGUUCUCCCCUUCCCCUGUUCCCCUGUUCCCCUCUCGAACCUACCCUUCUUCCUCCUCCAGAUCCCCAAUCUCCUUCCCCAAAAACCUUGUAUCUGGAUAUGAAUCAGUGCUAGUUAGCAAAGAGGAACCUAACAGAAACUAAUGGCGUCUA